RNAcentral lists this ribosomal RNA (320 nucleotides) under uncultured soil bacterium. Its description in RNAcentral is "bacterial SSU rRNA". It matches the Rfam family "Bacterial small subunit ribosomal RNA", at positions 26 to 346 of the family's 1533-position model. The record is from RNAcentral.
AGAUUGAACGCUGGCGGAAUGCUUUACACAUGCAAGUCGAACGGCAGCACGGGGGCAACCCUGGUGGCGAGUGGCGAACGGGUGAGUAAUACAUCGGAACGUGCCCAGUCGUGGGGGAUAACUACGCGAAAGCGUAGCUAAUACCGCAUACGAACUCUGGUUGAAAGCGGGGGGAUCGCAAGACCUCGCGCGAUUGGAGCGGCCGAUGGCAGAUUAGGUAGUUGGUGGGGUAAAGGCUCACCAAGCCGACGAUCUGUAGCUGGUCUGAGAGGACGACCAGCCACACUGGGACUGAGACACGGCCCAGACUCCGUACGGGA